This is a long non-coding RNA of Salvelinus sp. IW2-2015, 1764 nucleotides long. RefSeq lists it as uncharacterized. NCBI's taxonomy places the organism in Eukaryota, Metazoa, Chordata, Actinopteri, Salmoniformes, Salmonidae. The record is from RefSeq and is a predicted model, not a curated record.
CUCGUUUUUUCCUCCCGAGUUCUCAGUUGCUACGAACACUCGGAAAUCUAGUUUACUGUCGUUUUGACCGCGGCAAGAGCGCUUGGUCUUUGUCGCAGAAGUGGGAGGGAACGCUUGGGCCGUCCUGUAUUUUUAUUGGUGUUUUGGAAUGGAAAGUGGAAUCCAGAGCUAUGAUUGGUUACGUUGCCGGCGAUAUAAAAGUUAUAGAAUCACAUUUCCUUCUUUCUCUAACAAGGCGAAGGAAGGCUUCGCCGUUGUUUAACUCCGACCAACAUCAGCGUCACCCUCGGUCACGAAUUUGGCAACAUGUCUAAAGGACCGGCAGUUGCCAUUGAUCUCGGGAGCAUCUACUCCUGCUUGGAGUGUGUUCCCGAUGUGUUCCAGCAUGGCAAGGUUGAAAUCAUUGCCAACGACCAGUGCAACAGGACCACAGGACCACUUCAAGUUAUGUUUCCUUCAGACUUGUUGGUAAUGCCGUCAAUAAUCGGGUUACCAUGAACCCUGCCACACAGUAUUCGACAGUCAACAAUGUAGUCGUUCCCGUGCCUGCUUAAUUCAACAACUCCCAGCUCCAGGCAUCAAAAGAUGCUGGCACCAUCUCAGGCCUGAAUGUACUGCAUAUCAUCAAUGAGCCAACUGCUGCUGCCAUUGCCUACGGCUUGGAUAAGAAGGUGUAUGAGGGUGAGGGCCAUGACCAAGGACAAACACCUGUUGGGCAAGUUUGAGCUGACUAGAAUCCCCCCUGCACCUCGAAGUUCCUCAGAUUGAGGUCACCUUUGACAUUGAUGCUAACGACAUCAUGAAGGUGUCUGCAGCUGACAAGCACACUGGCAAGGAGGACAAGAUCACUAUCACCAAUGACAUGGACUGCUGAGAAGUAAGAGUAUGAGCACCACCAGAAAGAGCAUCACCAAGUUGUACCACGGUGCUGGUAUGCCCGACCGCAUGGCUGGUGGAUUCCCCGGAGCUGGUGGCGCGGCUCAUGGAGGCGGUGGGUUAUCUUGACUGACUUGAGGAAGUCGACUAAACCAUUCCACGGUUUCUGCAACUACCUCCCCCUCACAUUGACUUCAAUUGCUUUGCAGAUAGAUUUAGAAAACGGUUAUUGCGGUUUCUGUCAGACUACAUAUGGUAGGGUAAUUUUGCUGAAUUAUCCCAAUGUAGUAACUCAGUCUAUCGUUGGUAGAUUUCUUUCAACAGCACAAUUUACUUGAUGCAUUUGAUGAUACUUUAUUCAGAAAUGUAUGGAUGCAAGGAAAGAAUGAUGAGAAAUGAUGAGAAACAUGAUAGUUUUAAUACAAAUUACACACGUUCAGCUUUCAAACAAGGAACAGUACUGCCCUAUUGCACAGCUCUUGUAUCUGUCUUUAAUAAGCAAAACGCAGCAGCUCUUAUGGUGUGGUGGCCAAUUAUAUCUUAAAUGUCUCCCCUGUGUCCAUCUCUUUUUCCAUGUUUCCCCUUCCCAAACAAAGGGAGUUCAUCGGUGAAAAAUAGAGGUAGGGUUGUAGACAGUUGAGGGACUGAAUAUAAUAAACCGUAGGCGCUGGCAACCACUACAGAAUGUCCGGUCAGAUCAAGGAUGAUGAGAAAGUCCAGGGUAAUGGGAAUUUAAAACUUGUUCGGAAUCGGUGUACCGUCCUUAGGACGGUUGAGCUAACGUAGGCUAUUGCGAUUAGCAUGAUGUAUGUACAAGAACAUUUCCCAGGACAUAGACAGUUUGAUAUUGGCAGAAAGCUUAUUCUUGUUAAUCUAACUGCAUUGUUU